UUGCACCACCUCCUCCUGGAAGCUUAGAACCUUUCUCCAAACUAGGAUUAUUCCCUCCUAAGACCUCUCACAUCUUUUAGCUUGUGCCUUUUUUGCAGGUGCUUUGAUUCCACUUGUACUUCAACCAUCUGUGAGCUACUUCUAUUCUCUUUAGGAGACUGGCAACUCCCUAAAGGCAGAGCAUGAAUUGGGGGAUAAUUGGCCACCAUUACUGAGUGUCUACUUUGCCUUGCUCUGCACCUGUGGAUCCUCCGAACAAGGAAGCUUAGUUCUUCUUCUGCCCAUUUUGUAGGGGAGGAAACAGUGGAAACUCAGAGGUGCAGACAUUUGCCUAAGGAUAUACAGAAGAUAAGGAGCAGAGCUGACAUCAGAACUCAAGCUUGCAAAUGUGUAUGCGGGCCACCAUGCCACAUCUGCCACCUCUCUCACAGCACUGCUGGGGGAACAGGAGAAGCAUUGGAGGUGGCAGGCUUUGCCUUACUACACAUGGCAUAUGCAUUUUAAAUAAGGACUUUGAUCUGGAAGCAGGAGAGCAUAUUUAUUGCCUCAACUCAGCUUGAUUUGGGCUCUUCUGUCCCACAAAUGACACCAACCCUCACUGGCCUGAAGACCUUGCCUGAAAGAGAAAGAGCAGUGGCAUGAAGUCAGAAGAGGUGCGUUUACCUGCCAGCUUUGCCUCUGUCUGUGUUCUCUCCCUGAGCCUCAGGAAUCGCACUUCAGUAAUGGUUUUGCUAUGAGAAUUUGGAAGCAGCACGUGUAAAAACCCUAGCUCAGAUUGGGUACUAGAUAGACAUCAGCAGUGAAGAUUCACUGAGUUUGCCCCAGGGCAGGCAGUGGAACGGGUACAUUAAUGCAUAUCCCAAAUCCUCACAGCCACCCAGAGGUAGAUCCUGUUACUGUCAUCACAGCUACCUGAUCAGAAAACUGAAGUUCCAAACACAAGAACUGCAUUGCGAGUGGAUUUUCAACCCAGAAAUGCACUUUGAAGAGACAUGCGUUCGUAAGAGGUCGCUCCUGAGAAUGUGACAGAAAUCACUGUGCCACCUGGCUUUCUUCUUUGUGAGUCUAUAUCUAGGAGUGGACUAGACUGAUGCUCUGUGGUAUUAUUCUAACCAACAGCAGGCCAGGCAUGUUGGCUCAUGCCUGUAAUCCCAGCACUUUGGGAGGCUGAGGCGGGUGGAU
RNAcentral lists this long non-coding RNA (1182 nucleotides) under Homo sapiens (human). RNAcentral describes it as "HSALNT0350323". The record is from RNAcentral. Lineage: Eukaryota; Metazoa; Chordata; Mammalia; Primates; Hominidae.